UCUACGGGAGGCAGCAGUGAGGAAUAUUGGUCAAUGGUCGAGAGACUGAACCAGCCAAGUCGCGUGAGGGAUGAAUGCACUGUGUAUUGUAAACUUCUUUUGUAUGGGAAUAAAAACUUCCACGUGUCGGAGUAUGUGUGUACCAGAUGAAUAAGGAUCGGCUAACUCCGUGCCAGCAGCCGCGGUAAUACGGAGGGUCCGGGCGUUAUCCGGAUUUAUUGGGUUUAAAGGGAGCGUAGGUGGAUUGUUAAGCAAGGUGUGAAAGGUUGUGGCUCAACCGUGACAGUGCAGUUGAAACUGGCAGGCUUGAGUGCAGGAGAGGUAUGCGGAAUUCGUGGUGUAGCGGUGAAAUGCUUAGAUAUCACGAAGAACUCCGAUUGCGAAGGCAGCUCACUGGACUGCAACUGACACUGAGGCUCGAAAGCGUGGGUAUCAAACAGGAUUAGAUACCCGAGUAGUC
This 460-nucleotide ribosomal RNA is filed under the name uncultured bacterium. RNAcentral describes it as "partial 16S ribosomal RNA". It matches the Rfam family "Bacterial small subunit ribosomal RNA", at positions 338 to 795 of the family's 1533-position model. The record is from RNAcentral.